GAAGAAGAGAGCAAAAUGUAGCCAAAGACAACUUGCCGGCAAACCUCAGCUGCAUAAAGCAAGAGUACUGUAAAUGCCGGCAAGUCAUCCUUGGCUGCAAUCCAAUCUCUUGUGC
RNAcentral lists this microRNA precursor (115 nucleotides) under Prunus dulcis (almond). Lineage: Eukaryota; Viridiplantae; Streptophyta; Magnoliopsida; Rosales; Rosaceae. The record is from RNAcentral.